GGACAUGUAGCUCAGUUGGUAGAGCACUGGUGUGAAGUACCAGGCGCGAGGGUUCAAUUCCCUACUUGUCCAC
Molecule: transfer RNA, 73 nt
Filed under: Streptomyces phage Tomas
Lineage: Duplodnaviria; Heunggongvirae; Uroviricota; Caudoviricetes; Stanwilliamsviridae
Description: tRNA-Phe
Rfam family: tRNA
About the family: Transfer RNA (tRNA) molecules are approximately 80 nucleotides in length.
Source: RNAcentral